UGGAAAAAGUCCUCCUUGAUCAACAGUUCACUCCACUAAUACUGGACUGUGGCCUACUAAAACUGCUUGCUGAUGAUGUUGUUUAUUCAGCACUUAAGGUCAGUGCUGCACUUGGAUAUAUGGCUCCUGAAUACAUCACAACUGGACGAUUCACAGAAAAGAGCGAUGUAUAUGCAUUUGGAGUAAUUAUCCUUCAAGUACUCUCUGGUAAAGGACUUCUGGACUGCUCAAUGAGACUUGCAGCUGAAUCUUGUAACUUUGAGAACUUCAUUGACCCUAAUAUCAAGGAUACAUUCCCCAUAAGUGAAGCAACUAUGCUAACUAAACUUGCAGUAAGUUGCACUGUCGAGGAUCCAGAUAGCAGGCCAAGUAUGGUUUUAGUAAAUGAAGAAUUGAACAGAUGUAGUGGUGGUUGAAAAAGGAAACAUGUCCGCGUUGAAAGCUGUUGAUGAUUAUUAACCAUAGGGAAACAAGUGCCAAAGCGAUAGAGUUGCAGUUAUCUAUCUAUUGUAUUAUGCAACAUCACUUGCUUCUGUACAUAAUGAGGCGGAUUGAACAAAUUCUUUGUAUGGUUUGA
This 577-nucleotide unclassified non-coding RNA is filed under the name Hevea brasiliensis (rubber tree). The record is from RNAcentral. Lineage: Eukaryota; Viridiplantae; Streptophyta; Magnoliopsida; Malpighiales; Euphorbiaceae.